Molecule: long non-coding RNA, 1814 nt
Filed under: Ornithorhynchus anatinus (platypus)
Lineage: Eukaryota; Metazoa; Chordata; Mammalia; Monotremata; Ornithorhynchidae
Description: lncRNA (ENSOANG00000041949.1)
Source: RNAcentral
UAAAACGGUACUUGUUAAUCAAUCGAUAGGUGGUAUUUAUUGAGCUCUUACUAUGUACAGAGCACUGUACUAAGCGCUCGAGAGAGUACAACAGAAUUAGCAGACCCAGCCCUGCCCAUAAUGAGCUGACAGCCCAGAGGAAACGCUUACUAUGUGCCAGGUACCUUACUAAGUGCUGGGCUGGAUCCAGAUUACUCAGAUUGGACAUAGUCCAUCUUCCACAUGGGGCUCACAGUCUUAAUCCCCAUUUUCCAGAUGAGGUAAUUGAGGUCCAGAGAGAUGAAGUGACUUGCCCGAGGUCACACAGCAGACAAGUGGCAGAGUCAGAAUUAGAUCUGAGAAGCAGCUUGGCUUAGUGGAAAGAGCCGGGGCUGGGGAGUCAGAGGAUGUGGGUUCUAAUCCCGGCACUGCCACCUGUCUGUUGCGUGACCUUGGGCAAGCCACUUCACUUCUCUGUGCCUCAGUGACCUCAUCUGUCAAAUGGGGAUUAAGACUGUGAGCCCCACGUGGGACAACCCUGUAUCUCCCCCAGCGCUUAGAACAGUGCUUGGCACAUAGUAAGUGCUUUAUAAAUCCCAUUAUUAUCAUUAUUACAAGUAACACCGGUUGGACACUGUCGCUGUCCCAUGUGGGACUCUCAGUCUCAAUCCCCAUUUUACAGGUGAGGUAACUGAGACACCGAAGAAGUGAAGUGACUUGCCCAAGGUCACACAGCAGACAAGCGGCAGCAGAGCAGGAAUUGGAACUCACGACCUUCCGAGUCCCAGGUCUGGGAGAGCUAGAGGGGCAGGGAGCCCCCGGGAGUUUAAAGAGCUGGAUCAUCGGACCUGAAAUGCCAACGGCCUGCGAAGUCCCGGCUGCUUAAAACUGAGCUAAAACGGAUCAUGUCUAUAAAGUCUGUAAAAAAUUUCGAUGCUCGUCAACAUGGGCAGUCGCCACCGCUGGAGGAAACCCGGAGGGGGAAUUCCGAGAUUUCAUCACUGCCGACUUCUUUAAAGAAGGGAGCACGGUCACUGGCUACCCACAAAGUCGAAAACUAUUGCUUAGUCCGUUCCUUCGAUCGAAUGCAAGACUUCCGAAAAAAGCAUUUGCAGGGGUCCCUGCUGUCCUGGGUCCAGCUUAUUUCCACACUGCCAUAGCUCUGCAAAGAAUCCUAUUCCCGACAGCCAACGACCACAGUACUGCUAUAUUGUUCCCUCCCAAGCCCUUAGUACUGUGCUCUGCACACAGUAAGCACUCAAUAAAUACGAUUGGACUGAUCAGAGAGGAAAAAGUAACUGAAAAAAAAUAAACCAACCCUAGGGACCUUGGAUUAUUAGUCCCUCCCACCCCCCAAAAUUGUGAUCUCCACUGCUGAUCCAGACUGGGGCUUGAGGUCACUGCCCAGUGACUGGAAAACUCUGGAUUAAUUCUCUCACUCCUGGCUGCCUACCCACUGCCUUGCCCUAAACCCACAGCCACCUGCUUGAUUUCAAGUCAAAAUCCACAGAAGCCCUUUCCUCUACCUUCCCCAAGCUCCAGGCCCAGCCGUUGGACAAGACUCCCUAAAGACCAGGCGACGACACGGCACUUCCAUACGUAAUCGCGUGCAAUUUAUUUUCCUGUCGGUCUCUCCGCCACUAAUCCAUACGAUCCUUGAGGGCGUGAGUCUCUACCAACUUUGUGCUUUACCAACUAUGUAGUCCGGUGCUCUGCACAUAGUAAGCGCUCAAUAGAUACCAUCGAUUAAGCAUAGCCAAAACCAACAGGGGAAGCUCCCGGGGGAGCACACCCUCAGCUCCUCUGUGUGAUCAUCUCCGCGACCAACUCCGGAG